AAUACCGGAUAACAACACUAGACGCAUGUCCAGAGUUUGAAAGAUGGUUCUGCUAUCACUCUUGGAUGGACCUGCGGUGCAUUAGCUAGUUGGUAAGGUAACGGCUUACCAAGGCAAUGAUGCAUAGCCGAGUUGAGAGACUGAUCGGCCACAUUGGGACUGAGACACGGCCCAAACUCCUACGGGAGGCAGCAGUAGGGAAUCUUCCACAAUGGACGAAAGUCUGAUGGAGCAACGCCGCGUGAGUGAAGAAGGGUUUCGGCUCGUAAAGCUCUGUUGGUAGUGAAGAAGGAUAGAGGUAGUAACUGGCCUUUAUUUGACGGUAAUUACUUAGAAAGUCACGGCUAACUACGUGCCAGCAGCCGCGGUAAUACGUAGGUGGCAAGCGUUGUCCGGAUUUAUUGGGCGUAAAGCGAGUGCAGGCGGUUCAAUAAGUCUGAUGUGAAAGCCUUCGGCUCAACCGGAGAAUUGCAUCAGAAACUGUUGAACUUGAGUGCAGAAGAGGAGAGUGGAACUCCAUGUGUAGCGGUGGAAUGCGUAGAUAUAUGGAAGAACACCAGUGGCGAAGGCGGCUCUCUGGUCUGCAACUGACGCUGAGGCUCGAAAGCAUGGGUAGCGAACAGGAUUAGAUACCCUGGUAGUCCAUGCCGUAAACGAUGAGUGCUAAGUGUUGGGAGGUUUCCGCCUCUCAGUGCUGCAGC
This 701-nucleotide ribosomal RNA is filed under the name uncultured bacterium. RNAcentral's name for it is "bacterial SSU rRNA". It matches the Rfam family "Bacterial small subunit ribosomal RNA", at positions 165 to 852 of the family's 1533-position model. The record is from RNAcentral.